CCAUAUGACCCUUAAUGCACACGCACCUGAUCUCUGAUCUCAGAAGCUAAGCACUAUUGGGCCUGGUUAGUAUAUGGA
This is a ribosomal RNA of Cercocebus atys (sooty mangabey), 78 nucleotides long. The record is from Ensembl. Lineage: Eukaryota; Metazoa; Chordata; Mammalia; Primates; Cercopithecidae.